ACAACAUGGUAUAUGCCAUGCUGAUGCCUUGCUGGCAUGGUUCUGGCCAGUGUGUGCCCAGCUUUGCAAUGGCAUGGCAUUGUUACUGCAUGUACUGUGCCAGUGCAAGGGCAGCAGAGCACUGGCACAUGAUAUUUUGAUCCUUGAGCGUGAAAUGCAAAUUGUCAAAUUUUUGGUAUAAGUUUUUUAUUUUAUUUUUUUUGGCUUCCAGACCCUGCAGUAAUGUAUCCAACAAUAUUUCACAUGGUAACUAGCAGUUAGCAAACAUGUAAUGUGACAGCUCUACAUCCUGAAUAUAUGGUUUUCUUGUGUGAAUAAUGAUGUAUAUAUGUUUUCUUUUGUGUGAAUAAUGAUCUAUAUAGUUGGAUUACGUGCCCAUCCUGAUAAACUUUAUAAUAUCUGUAGAGUUAUUUUAAUCUUGGCUCCUUUGUAUUGAGGUUUUGCAUUAUAGGGAUCAUUUACAACUCUAAUAUUUACAUGAAUUUAUUGUGAAAUCGUUCCAUUUUUUUUUAUAUGUUAAUGAGUUUAUAGACACUAUGUAUAGAUUUUAAAUUGCUAUGAUGUCAAAGUCGGCUUUAACCGAGGCUAUUGAAUAAUGACCCUAUCCAAUUACCUAAACUAUUAAUCAGACUGAACCUGAGAUGGGACCUGAUUUGGUAAAAACCUGGCUUGAUGCAAAACAUUUCCCUCAUGUCCUAUUGUUAUCCUAAUACUAACCCCCAUUUCCCUCAUCUUUUCCAAAUCUUACCUUCAGCUGUCUAUUUCCACUCCAACUUGUGCCACCCACCUUUUGCCCUGCUAUGGCUCAAUUCUGGCAAUGAUGCAGCAUCAACCCUCUCUUCUCUCACCCUACCCCUGCCCCUGCCUUAUCUAUGUACCUCAGCCCCAGCCCUAGUGUCUCCCUUCCCUAUCCUCAACCUAAAUCUACUGUUCCCUUCUGUUCUCACUCCAUCACCCUCCUCUAUAAUAGGUCAUAUCAGAAUAGGUUUUCAGAUCAGAUGUCCAAUCCUUAAUAAGUCUGAAUUUUAUGCGUUGUCAUGCUGGUCCAUUGGACAAUUGGAUCAGAGUUCUCUCUUGGAUCAGAUCCGGAGCAACCCUGAACUGAUCUUAUCAAACACCUUUACAGAAACAAUCAAACAAAGAUAAAUUUAAUUGAUCUGUGAACUCCAUUUUGUCCUUCUUCAUUGCUUGUGGACAUAAUUCUAAGUUUCGUACCAUAUUGGAUUGUUGAAUUGUCCACUAGUUAGUUUGAAAGUUAUGCUUUUUAAAAUAUAUGAUUCAGUUGAAAUCUAUUACAGUCUAAUGUAAAUUGUUUGGGUUUCUUUCUUUCUUUUUAUUUAUAAAUAAAGCAAUCAAGAUUCAGUUGAAAUCUUUUUCACAAUAUUGUUUAUGCUAUGAUCAUAUUUCUUAUUUUCUUCCAAUACCAGGCUGCAGUAAGAGAUAUAUGCAAUGAGGUGGAGGCUUUAGUCAAGAAGUGUGGAAAACUGAAAAUGAUUGAAGCUAUCAAGUUACCUCCUCUCGAGCUCUAUAGGCAUGUUGAAGUAUGAACAUAUGUCGUUUUUCAUUUGAUUGAUAGUAUAAGUUUUCAUGUAGUUAUAGUCCAUUUUAUCUUUCUUUUUAAAAUUAAUUUGCCUCUUUACUGUUAUUUAUGGCCAUUAUAUAACACUAUUUCUUAGAGCAACCUCUGUUGGAGGAGUACGGAGCUACUGUCUAACAGAUUAGUGAUGUAAGCACUGAAUACAUAAGUACAUAUUUAGCAUUGGAAGGCUUUUGCAAUUGACUCCAAUCUUUGUUAUUUCAGAUGCAACGAUUGUUUUAGUGAGCAAGCUAGCAUACUUUGGAUAAUGAUUUCUUUCUCUUGUCCAAUUAUCUACUAAGCACUAGCUGGAUAAUUGUCACUAGUUGUCCAUGAAACAAAUUUGGAAAAGUCAUAUUAAUUUAAAAGCCAGCUCUUGUUAUGCUUUCAAUUUCUUUGAACAUUAAUUAAUAUUAUUCAAAAUAACAUGAGCGUAUGCUAGGGACAAAUUGCUAAAUUUAGGCACUUGAGAGGAGCAAGAUAUCAACAUCUGUGAAUAUAGUAAUACGUUGUAUAUCUUGUCAGUGGUAUAUUAGUAUGUUCUUUACUUUAAGCUUGAAGUCCGGAAAUUAACCGUCUCUUAUUUUCAUUUCUAGUGGCAUGCUGUGGUAGUUUACUUCCUUUAUUCUUCAUGUUAUUGCAUUAUCUGAUUUCUUCUCUUGUAUACAUUUCAUUAUAUUGUAAGAAUUUGAGAUCUAAACAUGUUUCAACCUCAUGAUAUAAUUCUUUGCUUUGAGACGCGAUAGUUCGGGUAAUACUAAUUGCGUUAACAAAUACAAUAGCAUGGUCUGCCGAACCGAUCGGAGCCGGUAGGUUCAGGCUGUACCGAACCAGUGCCGAUAGCUAUCGGUAUGGUUCGACUGUGAAAACCGGUACCAAACCGAAACCAGGGCGACCGGCAUCCGUAGAAGUAGGGAAGAAGAGGAGGAAGAAGAGGAAGAAAGAAGAGAAGAAGCGGGGAAGAAGAGGAAGAAAGAAGAGAAGAAAAAGGGGGGAAGAAGAGAAGACAAGUACCAAAAAAAGGAGGACCUCUCUUCCUUCCUUGCUCGCAGGAGAAUGGGGGGAGCCGGAAAAGAGAGAAGAGAGGAGAGAGGGGAAGGAGGGCUUGGGAAGAAGGGGAGGAAAAAAAUAGAGGGAAGAAAAACCCCGCGCGGGGCCGAGUGGGGAACCGCGAGCCCACUCGCGCCUGCUCGUAGGGAACCGUGCCUGCACGUGGUUUCCUGCGCUGCCUCAAUUCCCCAUGCGGGCUCGCCGCUCGGGGCAGCGGGCCCACGCGGGCUGCCCUGUGUGGGCUUUAAAUGCCGCACAAAGUGGCAUUUAAUGCCCCUCUGUGGUAACGCGCGGGCGUCCCCGCGUUGGACGCGUGUCUUUUUUCUAUCUCGACCGGUUUGGUACCGGUACCGUACGGAAACCGGUCUUCACUGGUACACCAGUACUAUCAGUAUCGCAGACCUUGCACUCUAGCAAAAAGUGAAAUUUUUUUGAAUACAAACAUAACUAGUCUUGGUCUGCAAGGUUAGCGGCCUCAGUAUUGGAAUGCAUACCAGUAGGAGGUAGGUACGGUAAGGUAUCAAAAGUAUAUAUUUUUAUUUUUGUUUUCAAGGAUUUUAAUCUUUCCUUUUAGUUUUGAGUGGAUAAUAGGUUUUGUGGUUUCAUUUUUUAUGUUUAAAUGUAUUAUACUUUAAUUUUUUAUGUUACAUACUAAGAAUGGUAUGAUUGAAUAAUAUAUGUUAAUUAACUAAGUGUAACAUUGAAAAUAUAGAAUAUUUAAAUUAAAAAAUGGAAGUACAAUAUACUUGUAUCUGUUCAACUUCAAGUUGAGUGUCGUUGUCUCUCAUAGAUCCUAGGUCACGCUUGUAGUCGGUCCCUAGGACUUGACUCCAGCUUUGUAUUAUGUCCACCCAGUAUCUUAGCAGUCUCAUACCAUACUGUCCCUCGGGACGCCUCGUCGGCUCAUACCGUACUGCAUACCAAUACUAUAAUAGGGUACCAACACUGUAAUAGGGUGGUAACGGUGUGGGGUCCGAUAUUGAGACAACGAACCUUGCUUAGAAUAUUUAGAAUCAUUUAUAAGCUUAAAAUUGUCUGGGAGAUCAGAAAUACUAAGUAAGUCAUAACUAAUUUUAAAGGCAGAAAGGUACUUACCUCAUGAUGCAAAACAAACCAUGUACUUCUUGUCUUGAUUUAUUUCAAUAUCAUCAUCAUUGUCUUCUUCUUCUACCCCUACUCUUCCUCUAGCCAAGGUAGGCCGGUCAAAAGUAGGGCCCACUAUGUUAAUUCACUUACCGAGGUUGGUUCCUUAAGUAGGUGGGCCCCACCUUAGGCUAGUUGCAAGUAGGUCGGUCAUGAAGGUUGGGUAAGGAGGCCCAAUAAUUAGGUGACUCAGUAGGCAGAUUAAAAGAGAGAUAGAUAGCCAGAUGCUUAUUUACAUGUAAUAUCAUUUAAUUAAAUAUUACUUGAGGCAUGGUGCCUAUGUCAUACUAAAAUGCUGAAGUCAAUUGACCAUUAGGACUGUCAAUCAAGCAAGCUAUUUUUGAGCUUGCUUGUGUUUACCUUGGCUUCUACUUGCUCUAUUAGUAAACAAGCUGGGCUAGAGCUCGGUUUAACUAAUUCGUAAAUACCAUUGCAUUGUUUUAGUCAUUAUUUUCUAUUUAAAAUUCUUUUGAUAUUUAUUUUGGCAAUGUAAUUUGUCUAAAAUAGAAUGCAUUUCAAUUAUAACUUUAAGAUAUAAUGUGGAUGGCUAGCUUAAAGUAUAGGAAUGAAUGUUUUGGGAGACCUCAAGCUCUCACGAGAUCUCUUAAAUGAGUUGUUCAUAAACAGCUUAUGUUCUGCUCAAAAUUAAAUGGCUUGCUCGAUUUCAAAACAAGGUGAAAUUGAAUUCGUGUGGUUUGCUUGAGCUCAGUUUGUUUAUCAGCUAGCGACCAUCACUUGUUCUUAUAUUUGAACUUUUGAAGUAUUCAAUCUUUGGUUCUUUCUUUAUGGUUGAUUUUCCCUUCAUUUAUUUGUCAUCCAUGUUUUAUGUACAUAUGCAUGAUUCUGUCCUUGUAAAUGUAUGUUGCCAAAUAAUACACACACGCACACACACAAAUGAAUGUGUGCAUGUCAGCACGCAUGCAUGCGUAUGCAUGUUAUUCAUUGAUAUGUGCCACUUAUGGUAAUCCUUUCAUCAAAUUAUUUUUUUUGUUAAAUCUCACCAUCCUUUUUUUUUUUUUGAGGACCAAUUAUACACUUUUACAGGUUAAUUUGCCUAUUUUACUGCUGAACAAGAUCUUGUUACUUGUUCCUCAGGAUAUUUCUGGUGAUGAAUUGGUAAAGGCACUCCAAAUAAAAAAUAAAAUACCAAGGAGAAGGGCUCUUUCUGCAAUAGAAGACAAAGUUUUAACAAUACUUACUGAAAAAGGUUAUAUUGUCAAAGGUGAAGCUCCAGGAGAUGCUGAAGGUGUACCAGUUGCUUAUGAGGAUGAGGAUGAGGAUGAGGUAGUAGUUGUUGAUGGAGAGGUGGAUGAAGGUGAUGUUCAUAUAAAGCCGAAUUCACGGAAACCCAUUCCCUUGGUAAGGUUUUCUUAUUUUCUGGCCUUAAUGUGAUAAUUUCAAUGCUUCACUGAUUAUUGCUUUUCUGGGCAAUGAUUUUAUCUCAUGAGAUGAGGCAUGGGGCACAUAAUUAUUUUUAUUUAUUACAACCUAAUAUUUAUCUUUCCUUUUUAAUUCUACAUGUCAUUUACCGCAUUAUAACAUGGUAAGAGUCAAGGUUAGUACCCGACUAUUAACUACAUUGCAUUAUAACAUACAAAAGCACAUGCAGGCGUGCACACGUGCACACAGAGAGAGAGAGAGAGAGAGAGAGAGAGAGAGAGAGAGAGAGAGAGAGAGAGAGAGUAGUACGUACGUACUACGUAACUACGUACGUACUACGUACGUACGUACGUACGUACGUACGUUACGUACGUUACGUUACGGUUACGUACGUACGNNNNNNNNNNNNNNNNNNNNGAGAGAGAGAGAGAGAUUGUUCCCUCCAUUAACCAUGAGUCUAGCACAUGGGGCUCCUAUAGUUUCAGGUUGACCGCAUCUAUCUAUUCUCUAUUUCCAAUCAGUUCAUCAGCCUAAUUUCAGCGAAACAAAAUAUGUAGCAGCACACAAUGUGUUUGAUCUGGCUCAUAUUUUGGACACUCAUUUUCUUCAAAUGAUUUGGUAUUGACUGUUGUGUCUCUUAGUAAAUGUAGAAUCUGUAGAAUGUAAUGAGCCUGUUGGUAGCUUAGAGGUCUGGUCUAUUUGUGACUCAUAAAAGUCUUUAAGAAGGCUAUAGGUCCUUACUGGUGCACUAAAAUUAAAAAUUUAAUUUAAUUUAUAACAUGGAUUUAAGUGCUGUUCAGCAUGAUAUGAAAUGAAACUCAUAUACAUACUGAGCCAGUACCUUAAUGGCACUUGAUACUGGUAUGAUAUGGGCUGUGUUCCAGUACCUGGCAUGCUGCCGUGCAGGGCAUGCCAAACACUGGCACAGUUCAGCAUGCCACCGGCAUGAAUUAUUUCAAUCCUUGGUCUAUUAAUUGUACCAGUGGUAACUCAGCUGGUUUCUUAUUUAUUAUAUAUCUGAUGUUGGCAUUUCCUCUCAAUAAUUGUAAUAGCGGGAUUCAUUUUCUAUUUCAACUUUUCAAGUUAAGUAACUGCCUAGCUGUUGAGUGGUUCGACCUUGUUGGUGGGUGCUUUCUUGCUCAACUUUAAAAUUAAGAUAAUUUUAAUUUAUCAACCCACAUCCUUCUCUUAGUCUUGGGUUGUUGUUCAUAUUUUUGUUUAUCCUCGCCAAUCCUACUCUAGUUCCAUAUGCCAAUAUACUUUAGUAUGCAAGAUUCAGUUUUUCUCUAUAGGAUCCAAUCCUUUCUCCUUGCGUUUUCCAACCUUGUCAGAACUCCUAAAAUGAAUUGUUUUGCAUCAUUUAAUCCAUUAUUUUCUUUGUAAAUUCACAAGCAAUUUAUUUAUACUCAAUUUCAGUAUUUAGUUGGGAAUAACUAGAUAUGUGUAAAAACAAAACAAAACACUAGAAAUAAGUGAAAAUGAAGAAAGUUUAAGAAGUAAUAAUAAAAUAAACACAACUCAGGAGGAAAUAACAUAUGGUACAUUAUCUUAAAGCAUGUUAUGUUAUUUGGAUAUAUAAUUGAAGUGCUUUGAGUCUAAAGCUAUGUAAAGUUGUAAAUGAUAAUUUAAAUUUUUAAAAGAAAUGUAAACUUUGAAAACUAUUGAAAUAUAACAAAAUAUACAAGUUAAACAGUGUUUAGAAAUCACUAUACAGUAUAAUAUAGAAAUUGUUUCUACAGCAUAAAUAUUGUUUGAUUUUAAUCUAACAAAUAUGCGUGGUCUUAUUAACACUUAUAAUCGCUGUUAUGUCUGAGCACUGGCAGCUUAACGAGAGUCAUGCUAGAAAUACAACUCACCUCAUUAUUGAUUUGCAACGCAAAUGGGAAAAAAAAUCCACACCUAUGUUUUUGAGCUACACCUUUAAAAGCAUCGAAAGAAGGACCAUCUUUUUGGAGAUCUCUAAUUGAUACAUCCAGUAAGUGCAAAAACUGUGCGCAUUGGGCCAGUGUGCUAAAUACAUGAUACGGCAUUUUAGUUGAGAAUCAACUAUGUUCAUCAUGAUCUGUACAUCUCAAAAUAUGUAUAGAUUGAAAAUUGAUGGAUUUCGAUGCUUUGAUCAUAGCAGAACUUCAUAUCAUUUUAUUAGAGCCAUCCAUUUUUUGCAUGCACUUGAUGCAUAGGUAGAGACCACAAACCACAAAGAUGUAUGAUUUUUGCUUUCUAGGUACUUUUAGUGGUAUGUAUCACAAUCAAACAGUGCAGCUCUUCAAUUUGGAGGUUUUAUCAUCGAUUUUGAGUUGUUAAUCUCUUACCAAAGAUUUCACAUUUAAUGUUUAGUAUAACCCAAAAAGUUCUCUCUUUCUCUCCGAUUUUGUUACCCAAAAUGUAUGCCUUUAUCUGUCUUUCUUACUACUUCCCUUUUUGUUUUUUCAUUAUGUUCAGCUUUUUGGAAUCUGGGACAUCCCACUUUUGACUCGUUUAUCUCCCAGGGAUAUAUGUUCCUUCUCUAGCGCAUAAGAUAUGCUUGUAUUUGUUUAUUCUAGUUAAAGCCUGGUGGUGUAACAAACUUUAUUCACUUGUAAAACAUUUUAUCACUCAAUAUGGCACUCGUAUCGAUCUGCUUGUGUGUGCUAUCUAUCUUAAUCCACACUUCAUGCUUUGCGGCAUCAGAAUUCUUUCUUUCAUGUCUUUUCUUAUCAACUUCCUGCGUAAAACUUUUAGCAAAUUAUUUGAUCUAAACCCUGUACAUAUGCUCUACUGUCUGAUUUCCUUUUAGAUAUUUCAACAUUUAACUUGAGUUAUUUCAUGUCCCAACCUAUGCAAAAUUCCUAUGCCAUAACUCAUGGAUAUUCCAAAUUUGGUCCUGUUUAUUUUUAAGAUGGACCCUCCCUAUUGUCCAAAGUGGUUAGUGGAAAUUGUUGAAAAGCAGAAAUUUCACUUGUACAUGAAAUUUUUGGUCGGAGAAGUUAAUAUAUUGUAGAAAAUAUGUUUUUCAAUAAAACUUCAUUAAUUCUGAGAACACAAAAUGGACUCCAGAGAAUAAAUAAGUUGGGAUAAAUGUUGAGUUGAUAACUAUUAUUCACUAAGGAAUCUUCAUUAAAAAAGGAGUAUCAUGGAUAAUGACAAUCAUGGUACGCGAUACUAUACCGAACUGGGCGGUACCGGGCAUACUGUACCGUACCGGUUCGGUACUGGUACAUGAUAUGGGGGUGUACAAAUAUUCGAUAUGCCGAACUAGCCCUCGUACCUGGCAUACGGAUACAGUGACUGGGUGGCAUCAAUACAGGGCCCAAUACCAAGGCGGCGUACCUUAAUAACAAUAAUAUUUUAUAACUCGACAAUUGAUGCAUUCUAAAGAAUCUCCACCUUCUAGUUAUUUCGAUACUCAUGUUUUUUCUCUCUUCAAUCUAGGGAAGGAUAUGUUGGGGUUUUAACAUAGAUGUUACUCAGGUCAUAUAAUUUCCCUUAUAAAUGUUUUGACCCUGACGAAGCGCCUUUUUGCCAUUUUGCCACUUUACAACACCCAUAGCCAAUAUGUAAUCUUCAACAAAACAAUCUGUCACAUAUCUUCUUAAACACCUACUAGACAAAUAUGUGGUUCUGCUUGAUUCACCAUGCAGUGGUUGAGAGAGGUCUCAAGCUAGAUGUGAUCAGCCUUGCUUUGAUGUCUGACAAGAUUUUUGUAGUUCUAACUAGUUUUGCCUUUCCAUGCAUUUGUAUCCUAAAUGUAAAUUAUCUUUUUGAGUUAAACGAAAUCAUUAUUCAUCUUAUUUAUGACUUCCUUCUUUGACACGGAGAACUCUGACAUGUUAAUUCACUGCAGCUAUCAAUGGUACUCUUGCAGUUAAUAUUAAAAGGUUCUGAGAAUUGCUCUGCCUUAGUUUCUUAUAACCUUGUUUUAUAAUGGAGAGAAGUCUCAACACCAUCCUUCGUGAGUUAAAGUUGGGCAAUUCAUAGAUUUUCCAUCCCUACUUUACUAAGCUUCAUUGUUAUUUCUAAGCUACCAGAUUAUGGAUUUGUACUCAUGAACUUUAGUCUUAUAAUACAAUUUUAUUGGUCGGAAGUACUAUAAAGUUGAUUAUAUAUCUGACAUAUGUCGCCUUUUUCUCAUGUAGUUAUUUUCUGAAGUGGAUGUGAAGUUGGUCUUCAAGGAAGUGACGUCCAAAUUUUUGCGCAAGCGUAUUGUGGAGGUAAGCAAUGGCCAAUGUUGUAGCAUUACAUCACCAUGAAGUGUUCCAGUUUCAUAGAUAUCUUACACUGCUUGUCUUGAGCUUGUAUGGAGCAGGCUGGUUUGUACUAUGUUUUGCACCAUUGACCAAUACAAUUGUCAGUCAGUAAACUUUUGUAGAGACAUGCCACACUUUCUUUAAGAUAGCAUAUUCAUGCAGAAAUUUGCCUCUUGAUAAUGCAUCGGUAUGUUAAUCUGCUGAGAAUUACUGGUUCUAUACUGAUUCUCCGAAUUCUUUCUUUAUGUGGCUGUGGUAAUUCAAUAGAUGCAGCUCUUAUCAAAGGUGCAUGCCCUGUUGUCUUUUUAUGCACCACCAAGAUGUUUAGGUUCUCAUAUCCAUUUUCCAAAGCAUAUAAUCUGGUGGAUGUGAUCAAAUUUUUGAAUACAAAUCAAUGCACCAUGUCUUCUACUCCGUAUUGUCUUUUUCCUCAGGUUAAAUUCAAAUUGGAUGAGAUUUGAAAUUAUGGAGUGAAAGAGAAAGAAGCAAAGAAGAAUAAAAAUGGGAGAUGAGAAGAGAGGAGAAGAAGGAAUGCAGGGAGAAUAAAAAUGUGAGAAAUGAGAAUUGUCUAAGAGAUUAAUUCUGUUCUCUUCUCGUCCCUAAUCCUUUUGUUUUAGGAUUUUGCUAUAAUGUGAAGAUAGACAUCCUUCUAAUUUUAGGAGGCAUUAUACAAUCAUUACUAAUAAGAAACAACUAUAAUUGAUUAAUCAUGCAACACAAAUAAGGAAAAAAGAAAAAAACAACAUGGUAAAGAAAGAAAAGAUUUCUUUGUCUACACAUCUAUUUUUAAUUUUGUGAAUUGUAAAUUUGAUCUUAAGGGUUAUAAGUUCUGGUACCAUUACUCAUAAUGGUUGGGGUCUUGGGUUAGGUCCGAUUGUCAUCAGACCAUUUGGUGGAUCGAUGAUCAUGCCCACCCUUGGAUCGUUACAUCUUGGAUAGAUGGAGAGACCAGGUGUUAGUUGGGCUUGACUUGAGGAAACAAAAUGAAUUGGAGAAAAUGAGUUGAGUUCUGCCUCUCCCAUCAUCGAGUCACUUUCCCUCUUUUCUCUCUAAACCUAAAGCUUAGCCCUCUUCUCUUUGAUGGGCCCCAUCUUAGGAACAUUCGAAGUGCCAUUGUUGGCUUGUGAGCAAGGUUCGCCGUCUCGGUAUCGGACUCCAUACCAGUGCCACACUAGCAUAGUGUCGGUAUGGUAUGGUACAGAUUUUUUUUAUACCGAGUGUCGGUACGCCACCCGUACCGAGUACCAGUACCGAACCGGUAUGGUACGGUACAUUCCAUACCGUCCGGUUUAGGCCGGUACGGCAUGCCAUGCUUGUGAGUGCCAUUUUUCUUCCUUUUGUUGGCCACCGGUGCCUGUCCUGGGUUAUCCUUCCAUCAAGAUUCUCAAUGCAGCCAUUUUCUUACUCUUUACUGCUUGUUGGAGCCUGCCCCAUGCCAUCCAUCACCGAGAUCCUCACUGGAGCCCCUUCCUUCGCUUCAUUGAUAUUUUUGAUUCAAGAAAUAGGUAAAGGUGGCCAUGAAUAAGGUGAAUACUGAUACAGUUAUGUUGCAUAUAGGAUGUAAACAAAGGACUUACAGCUGCUGUCAAAUUCAAUAAGCUAAAUGUAAAUUUAAAAUAUUGGGUGUUCUUAACAGCAUUCAAUGCCUGUAAACAAAAGUAUAUGUUGUGCAGCCUCUUGACUUUGCCUCAAAUUAUCCCACAUCAAUAUUUAUAGUGUUACGAUAUAAUGUGCUGAGUUAUAGAGGGUUUGAUGCAUAGACAAGUAUGUCUGCAAAAUAUUCUACUUUUGGUAUGGAUGCAUGUUAUACCUGCAAAUCAUAUUCAACGGUCUAGAUUUCUGUUUUGCAACUCUGAUCAUUGAAUUUGAUGCUGGUCGUAGACUCCUAUUUUGACCGCUAUGUCUUUUGUAUCUCACCCAUAUUGGGUGCAGCCAUAAUACACAAAGGGUUUAAAAGUGAGGACAUAAUACAUACUACAAAAUUCAAUGAUCUAAGUUGCAAAAUAAAAAUCUAAACCUUGGAUAUGCUCUAUAAAUUCUGAAAUAUCAUGUAGUAAUGUUACCUCUUGUUUUGCAUCAAAUCCUCCCAAAUAUAUGGUUCUUAUGGCAUGAUAUAAUUUUUUGAUUUCAGGGCAACCUGAUGUAUAGGCUAGGAGUGCAGAAACAAAUUAUCUUUUAUACAUAGGCAUUUUAAUUUUAUUAGACCAUUUCCAAUGGUUUAUAAUUUUAUUUUUCAAACCUUAAUUUUUAUAGUGGCACAAAAUCGUCUCUUUACACCCCAUGUGUAUUAUAACUGCACCUAUAUAUGUAUGUAUAUGUAUGGACGCAUGUGAGCAACCACUAAGAAAUUUGACUCUUGUCAAUUCCAUGGGAUGAUUUGAAUUCUGAAUUCUGAUGAUACCGAUUUGAACCAAUAUUGUUAACGACAACAUCUGAUCUAUCAAAUCAAUUCAUCGUUGAAAUCGGGUAUUCCAAGAUACGCCAUCUCAGUACCGGGCCUGUACUGGUGCCAUCUUGUUACUAUAUCGGUACGCCUGGUAUGGGAGCUGGUUCGACGCACUGAGUGUCGGUACGUCCCUCCGUACUGUGUACAGGUACCGAAUCAGUACGCUAUGCCCCGUACCACUUGGUUCGGUACGGUAUGGCAUACCAUGGAUAUUUACCUUUCUUAUGAACGAUUAGAUCAAUGGCUUUAUUUGAUCUAAUACCUGAAUUCAGACCUGAAACAAAGCAAUGGAUAAGAUAUAUUCUUUCUUUCUUCAGUAGAAAAGAAGAUUUUCAGUAUUAGUUUUUCAUUCAUCUUAAAACCUGAAUAAUUUCAGUAGUCAUAUGGGAUAAAAUGGCUUGUGAUUUGUUCAUGUAUGUGAACAUUUGUGGAAAAAUAAUUUCAUAUUUAUCUGUUUUAUCUUCUUCAUGGACUUCUUUUAUGUUUUUUUCUUCAAGUAAGAUGUAUCAUUGUUAUCCCAUAUUAUGCUUCUGGCUGAUUAUGGUAGUUAUAAGUUUCCGGCUCAACUUCCUUUUACUUUGUGCAUACAUUUUCUUUUUUCCUUGUAUAUUUGGCACCGGGAAACUUAUUCCAUUGAAAGUAUCAUCAUAUUUGACUCAGGAAAGCCAGCAUGAGUCAACCUUUUGCGUUCCUUGACAGCUGGCACCAUCAAUCCAUAAAUUUUGGAUAUGUCAUUCAGCCUAUAAUAGUAGGCUAAACAUCAAUAAAUUACAUUAUAGCCACAUGUUGGUAUUCUAAUAAGAUUGUAUUUGCACACGUUCCAUAUCAGGGUGGAAAACGAAGCGAUGGACGAAACCCUCUAGAGAUUCGUCCAAUUAACUCACAAUGUGGAGUACUUCCUAGAGCACAUGGGAGUGCACUUUUCACACGCGGUGAAACACAGGUGAGGAGAUUUAAAUUUUUAGCAUCACCAAACUAGGAAAUUCAGUGCUUUUCAUAGUUCAUAUUUAUUUUUUAAACUUAUCUUUUCAUGUCAUUUGCAUAUUUCCAAUUGAGACAUUAAGUUUUAAGUUUUGUCAAUUAUGUAAUUUAACUCGUACUAUCAAUGAAAGGAAAACUGAUGUUCAAAUUUAUGGUUCAAAGGGGAAUCUGCUGGUUAGUUAACACAAGAAGUUGGGCCAAGUUGUAGCAAUGUGUAUCUCUUGGUUUUCUUUUCUUUUCUUUCCUUUAUUUUCAUCUAAAAUAUCUUAUGAAUUCUAUGAUUGUUUUGAAGCAUGUUAGCCAAAAUAGCAUAUUUUAAGAUUUCUUUCUUAUGGUGAUUUUCAGUGUUGAAUAUAAAGCUUCUUUGUUGAAACGUUAUCAGAUUCCUUAAAUAUUUAGAGAUAAUACAUAUUCUUGGCAAGCAAUAUGCUAGUACAAAUCUUCUUACUAUGCUGUAUUUUUCCAUAUUUUUCAACAAUUAUCUGGAUACUAACCGUUUGAACUUUUUAUGGCUCCAUGUCAUCUACUCUCUAUGCAUGAUAGAUUUACCUUAUGCUAUCAUUUUCUUUUCAAUAAAGGAAUGCAAAUUAUAUAUGGUGGUUUAUGUGGAAAGUACUUGCAUAUAUGACCACUUUAUUGCUUCUGCCCUCAACCAUUAAUAUCUGUUAUUUAGUUGGCAAAUGUCUACAAAUCUUUCUUGCAUGUUUGCAUUCCUUUUAUGUGUUUGAUAUAUUCUUGUGGAGUUAUACAUCCGCUACGACCAAAAAUAUGCAAUUUCUAUGUAUCUGCUAGUAAAGCAGGCUAACUUUGGAGGAAGUUUGUGUAUUGAAAUAUUUUUUACCACUUUAUACUAUGAAAACUUCCUCUAAUGAACUGAUAUAAAUAGUACUUCCAAGGUACCUUUUUGCAUGUUCUUGUUUCCGCAAACUUGAGCCAAGUGCCCGACGUAUAUGAAUUUGACUCAGCCCACAUGGCCUCAGCUCGUGAAUGUAGUUGCUGCAUAACCAUAUUAUCAUCUCAGCAACUGAUCAUAGAACACCUCUUUAGUUUUAGUAUGUUAUGAAGAUUAAAAGCUGGAUGCCUUAUCCAAAUGCUCCUCCAUAGGCUCAAGGUCAAGGUAUUAAUUAAAGUCCUGUGAGAGAUCAUAAACUUGAGAAUUUUUGGUAAAAAAGUGGGGUACCGACACUCGGUACGCCAAAAAAUUAAUACCAUACCGUACUGAUAUUGUGUUAGUAUGACAACCGUACGAGGUCCGGUACUGAGACGGCGAACCUUGGACUUGAGUGUUUUUUUUCCUUAGGUUGGUAUCCGACUUUUACACUAAUUAGUACAACAUUCUUUUCUAUGAUUACUUUAUCAUCAUCUAUCUUUUGUUUCACUGAGAUGAACGCUAAAACCUUGAGUGUCUUGAACAAAAAAGAAAGUCAAUUAUAUACACUACUAUGUUUGACAUGUCACAUGCAAAUGGAUAUUUUUUACAUUGAAAUUCUGGCAAAUAUAAUUAAAAAUUGUUCUGGUGAUCUCAGUUCUCUGGAAAUAUACAUUAAAUAUAGGGUUACUGGUGUUACUUUGAUUGUGAAAUAUUCUUUAUUUUGUAGUCACUUGCUGUGGUUACUCUUGGAGACAAACAAAUGGCACAAAGGAUAGACAACCUUGUGGACACAGAGGAGUUAAAAAGAUUCUAUCUUCAGGUAUGUUUUAGGAUUUCUUAUGUUAAAUUUAGUAUGUACGUCUCCCCAAAUAAUAGAACCAAUAUAUUGCAAUUAAAUAGUUAUUUCCCAUAUUUUUAGUAAAUAUUCCGUUAAUAAGGCAAAUGACAUUUGUCAGCAAUUUAAUUGUUUCACCGCACCAUUCUUAAUUGUCAAUCUUGUCUAGCCAAAUGUGUCUGGUAUUGAAUGAUUUUAGUAAUUUUCGGUUACAUUUGCAAAAACACAUGAAAAUAUUCAGUUUGGCAUGAAAUUUCAUAUUUUGACUAAAUGCAUAUAUAAAUUAUCAAUGGUUGAUGUUUUUACAGAGGGGAUGAGUAGCUAUUUGCAAGCUGAAUCCACGGGAUUUGCUCAGCAUUUAAGAUGGGAUCUAGUGAAAGUAAUUUACUGUUGGAUGGCAUCAGUAUCACAUAGUUAAAGUCAAUAAUUAAGUAACUACAAAUCUGAAUCAUAUCUUAGGUGAAAAUAUAAAUAUUUUUAUUGUCAAAGAGUGUUGUUGUGGUCUGCCAAUUUUGGGUUUUUGGAAGUGCAGACACUUUAUAUAUGUCACCACUCUAUCACAAAACCGUGCUUUGAUGCUUUUUGCCAUCAUGACAAUGUCAUCAUCAUGUGCUUAGACUUGCAUUAAUGCAGGAGCAAUAGGUGGGGUCAGCAUGUGUGCAGUGGUGGAUGUAAAGGGACGGAAUCCUAAGCUUAGGUUCAAAAUUACUUGCUGUCCAAUUUGUGAUAACAAUUGCAGGACAUGGUAGAGGGCCUUGAACCUGCCCUAAUAGUUAAAAAUUUGGGAGGAGUCCUAGGAAAGGGAUUCUAAAGAUUUUAAUGCUAAUGGAGUUGGUUCAAUGUUGAUCAAAAUGAAAAUUCUGGUCAUCCGUAGUUGUGACAUUUCUUUCCGUUUUUCAAGAAAUCAUGUCUAUGAGUGCAGAUUUGAAUGGAUGGUGAAUUCAAAGUUAAAAUUAUUAAUGAUUUGUUGGCUAUCUUCUACUGGUUACAAUAGUUCAAAGAGGCCUGAGAAUUAUUUCAUAUAUGCUCAGAUUGAGCGUAGUCACUAACAACAGAUAAGGAAGAACAGUACAAGUAAAAGACUUGUCAAAUAAUGGGGAAACACUAGUUUAGAUAAGGAAAGUUACAGAAGGAAAUAAUAUAAGAGGGAGAACAGUGACAUUUUGGUUUCUCUUUCUGUUCCUUGAGCAAGAACAGCUUUGAAUUCUUCUAAAUUCAUUUUCUGCAUGAACCCUUAUUUAUGGAGAACAAGAUUGCUAGGAAUUAGGAAACAAUGUUUUCUAGUCUAAAUGAACUCUUAAGACUUUCUCAAAAUUGUUUGACUCCCCAAGACACUUGUCUCCCACCUAAUACUCCAUGAUAUCCUCAACUUUCAGAAUAGUAACCAAAUAAAAGAAAACAAAAUUUACCUUGAGUUGGGAGUCCAAAGAGGACUACUAAAAACUCUCAAAAUUACUAAAACUUCCAAUGAAAUCUCUCCUUACAAAUGCGGAGCAAGUCAUCUCCUAUGCUGGGCAGAAUCUGGAUCAUGUGAUGCUUUUGAAAUGCAAACACUUUUCAUUGACAUCCGUAGCAGCAACUAAAUGAGCUUUAGGUUUGUGUUCUUCAACCACACUAUUUCAUGACGAAGAUGGGCUGUUAUUUCCAAACCUUGCUUUUAAAUCAUUUUUUUUGUGUACAAAUUGUUGUGUAUAGUAGGCCAAUACACCACAUUUGGCAUUAAAGAUGCUACUUCACUAAUCAUUUUGUCAUCUUCAUGCUAGGUGUUGGAGAAUGAGCAAACGAUGAUUCUGUUGAAAAUACUUCAUCUUUCACAUCCUCACUUGCAUCUGUGUUACUCUCUUUUCACUUCAAGAGGACGGCUUCUUUAGUCUUCUUUAAGACUUGCAUUGGUUGUGGCUUUGACUUUGUUGAGAAAGGUCAUAUGCCUGUAGGGGCACUGGCCAAAUCUUGCAUGUUCGUAGCUUCAUAUUUUGACUCCAAGCAUGAAUUUCUCUUAUGACCUGCUCUGCACACCUGAUGUAUGUACUUGCUUACUGCUUGCUGUAUUUGAAGCCAAUGGUUCCUAACUUCAGCUCAUCUCCAACACAUGGCUAUUUUGAUUUGAAGUAUCUUUCUCAUGGUGCAUUCACAACAUUUCUUUUGUUCAAAUCAUCUUCCAUCUUGUUUGUAACUUGACUUGCAUCUGUCAUUUUGCAUAAUCUUCUAGCUAUAGACACCCCCUACUUCCAAUAACGAAGAAUAUCUUGUUCCAAUUUAAAGGCUAGAACCCUAGCUCUCACAUCUUAUCCCUAUAUCCUGUGUUCUAAAUCACCCCAAUCUCAUUCUUAAUAAUUCCUAUUUUUCUAUUUUUUGUGCCCCCAUUUAUCUCUAAUAAGGCUCUAGAGAAUUCUUAAUUAGCUUCUAACCCCACACAAAUCAAUUCCCCCAGGCAGCGAAGCAUGCUCACACUUAUAAAUCUACAGUUAGCACCAAACUGUACCAUGUCGAGUUCCUCUUAUUGUAUAAAGCACGCCCAUAUUCGAAGCCUAUUUUCUUCCCGAUUUCCUCGCUCAGAUGUAUGCAGAAAUCCAUAAAUUUCUAGCACCUAAUAUUACACCUCAUUGAACAUUUGUUACUCUCAUCCUCAUUUUCCCCUAAUCUUUCUCCUCUAAUAGAUCUCUGCAUAUAUUAUAUCAACAAGCUACAUUGGACACGUCAUGCACGCACAAGCACACCUUGUCCCUUCUAACAACCCUCGUGCAUAUAUAUAUAUGCACCUAGCCUUGCACCCACAUCACACCCUAGGAAGGCAUAGGACACUUGUCACACUCAUGUGCACUCCUAGACAAAAAUUUCUAGAAGGCCCCUACGCGCACCUAUCUUAACCUCCUCUUGCUAUUUGUCCCUCUCCAAUUCAUGUUGCUUCCUACACCAUCUUCUUCCUUAUAUGAAAAGAGAAGAAUAUUUGAUCUCUACUAACUGUGCAUCCUCUCCAAGCUAGAUCUGUACCAUACACUAGCUUUGUAUACAUGUUUCAUGUUUGGCUCUUCAGACCAUCAUAGUUCUUGCCAUCCUAUCCUCUUUCUCUCACAAAUCUCAACAAUGCUAUUGUAUCUAGCCCUAGUAUUCUAUUAGUUUCUCUACCCCAGAUAUCUUAAAACUAACCAACAUGCCAUCAAGAUUAUUUCCCCUUAACUCUCUGUGAGUCUCUAAAUCUCGUGCUUGUGCUUUUAAUCCUUGCCAUCCAACAUUCAUGGGAAACAAAAGAACCCUUUGAAAGCUAAUCAUGUGUGGUCCACUUUAUCAAUUCAUGACAACCCUCAUUUAAUCACAAGCAAAGUUCGCCGUACUGGUACCGGACCUCGUACCGGUGCCGCACUAGCAUAGGCGUACUGAGUGUCGGUAUGGUAUGGUACGUGGUUCGCCAGGUGUACUGUCACUGCAUAUCGGUACCGGUACGGUAUGCCCGGUAUCGACGGGUACCGACUGGUACAGCAUACCAUGAUCACAAGCCUUCGUAUCACCAAUCACCAUGACCUUAUAUCUAAGGAGUCUUUUAGAAGCAUCCAUCAUAGUUAUUCAUGAUACUGUUACUCCUUUAUGAAUACCCCUAAUUCUGCACCCAAACCGAAGAUUAAAUUGGAACCUUAGAGGAGACAACCAUUUUAGAGAGCCAUCUUUAUGAGCUUCUUGUCCUCCCCAUCUUCUCUUACAUCCAUUCCGAGCUUAGCCUCCACUGCCACCAUCUCUUUUAACCUCUCGACCACCCAUCUAGCUGCUAAGGAAAACAAGAUCCACCAAGCCUCCUUACUUGGAGUUUUCCCCUAAGUGAAGACCUGAUACUAAGGAGGGUGGUAGGAGCAAGUAGUCUAUGAUGGCCAAAGUAAUUCUAUGCUCAUUACCACCACUAUCCUUUCUCAUCUUUUGCUUUCUUUUUUUAAUGUUUUUCUGCUAUUUUCAGAUAUAUAUUGAUCCUUUUUUUCUUUUAAGGAUGAGCUCUUUUACACCUUAAAUCAAACUUAAGAACCUCAUUGGUAACGGGGGAUGGGCAGUGAUUAAAAUACUACUUGAUUUAGUACUAAUCGCUUGGUUUGUACUGAUUGAGCCCCUCUCAAUAUAGGGAGGCUUGGUUUGGGAAGGGAUUGGACGAACUGACCCCAAACUGACCAUAGAUCGAGUGAUUUAAGAGGAGUGGGGGGAGUAGGGCUUACUGCCCUUGGUUCAGCUUUGGAAUUGAGCGGUAUUGCUUGAUUGAGCUUUGGAUAAAAUUUAUGGGCCUUUUUCUUUUUAUUUUACUCCAUUCAGCUGAAAAGAAAGAGAGGGAGAGGACAUAGUCUUGUAGGAGGGUUUCAAGCAAGGAUUCAAGCUUGGAUUUAGCCGCUUUUCGACACCAAAUUAUUUUAUUCAAGAAAUGAACUCUCUUUCCUCCCAUUUUUAAAAUGGAAUAAUCUAAAGAUAAAUUAUUGAUUGCUACAUUGAGUUAAAACAUUAACAAAAUUUUAUCUAAAUCUCAUUUGAUUCUUGGAUUCAUGCAUUUAGGUAUGAAUCGAGGAUCAAAUUCUAGAAAUUUGUGGAUUUUGGGUUGAAGCCCGAAACAUAUGCUCGAAAUCCAUGUAAAUUUGAAAUUGACUUGAGAAAAUAGUUUGUUUGGGUUCUUUGUGGGAUAUGUUCUAGAAAAUGAGAGAGGGUGUGUAGUAUUGGAAGACUAUUGUUUUUGAGCUAUUAUUUCUCAAAAAAAUAAUUUUCAUAAAUAAUUUUGAAAAAGUAAAUUAAAAAAAUUUGGGAAAAAAUUGGCAGCAUGUUUGCAUUGUUGCUGUGCACGUACUAUCAAAUUCUCAACAUUUACCUGAGUGGUACUUUAGUUCCGUCUCAGCUUAAGCCCAAAAUUUCCUAAAUUUAAAAUUGACCCAACAAAAUUAUUAGUGUUCAGGUUGUUUUUUUUAAUGAUUUAUGUAUUAGGCAUAUUUAUAGAAGCUCUUAAUUAAAAUUAUUUUUUUUGAUUAUUUAAAUAUAAAAAUAAUUUAGACUUAAUUAUUUACAGAAAUAUUGAAAAUUUUAUGGUUUUGAGAAAAUUAUACAUACUAUGUUAGAUAAUUGUUGACUAACUUCUAACAUAGAUAGUGCAUUUUUUCUAAUAAAUUUAUUUUAUUAAUUUUUAUUUUAAUUAAUUAAAAAUAUAUAAAAAGUUUAGAAGCAAAUUGUUAAUUAGAAGAUACAUUGAUGCUCCUAUGCAUGUAAUUUGUAUGCACCAAUGAGGUGCUUAAAAUGAGCUUGCAUUUCAACUCAGGCUGCAAUAGUUUCGGAAAGUUAAGAAAAUUGUUAAAAAAGUUUUGCUAAAUAAGUUAACACCUACUCUCUGUUGUAGCUUGUAGCUGAUGAUUUCUACGAACCUAUUUUCUUUUCAAUUGAUAAUUUUAACACAUGUUUUAAAUGUAUUUAAGAUUCCAAGUUAUCUAGCUUGUAUGAUAAAUAUGCAUACUGUUGACAUCAGCAUGCAUAGAAAACGACAACUUGAGCACUUAACUCGAUACUCCCACCUUAUUCUGUGAAAAACAUUACAAUAAAAGAAAACAUGAUAAAAAAACCCAAAAAUCAGAAUUUGGAUGCCAAAAAACGUCAUACCAAUAUGUUUGAGGGUGUAAUUGUGCAUACCUAUCGAUACCUUUCUUGAUAUGAUCCUUAAUAUGCUGCAUGUUGCACCUAUUGUUGGUCAGCAUGAGUGCGAGCCUCGGUAUUUCGAUCCUUGGGUAAGGAUGCACUAUCUUGUUGUCCCCUACCUUAAAUCCUGAACCCUCACCUUCACCCUCACCCUUAACAUGGUAUCUUCGGUCCCUUUGAGCUAGCUAAUAGCCUAUGUGUUGCCCAGUAGAUACAACCCAAGAGGGGGGGUGAAUUGGGUCUUUUAAAACUUUUAUGCUACUUCUAAAACUUUUUGAUUAACUAUGCUAAGUUGUAUAGAUGCACAGUGAAAGUUAAACUUAGCAAGGUUUUGAUGUAUAGACUUCGACUUGAUUAAAUAUGCUUGCAACUAAAGGAUGUGCGGAUAAGAAUUAAGCAAGCAAUUUAUCCAAGUAAGUAAGUGUGUUAGUUAGACAAUAACUAGAGGCAUUACAAACACAAAGGACAUAUAGUGGUUCGGUGCACCCCAGCACCUACAUCCACUCCCCAAGACCUCUUGGGUACUCAUUUCCACCAUCAUGUGUUGGUGAAGUCGGGCGCAUGGGAGCACCCAGUAGGAGGGAGAUUGGUCAUGGAAUGCUAGCUGAAAGAGCACUGGAGCCCAUUUUGCCUUCAGAAGAGGAUUUUCCUUACACUAUUCGUGUUGAGAGUACCAUUACUGAAAGUAAUGGCUCUUCGAGCAUGGCAUCUGUAUGUGGAGGUUGCUUAGCACUUCUAGAUGCUGGAGUUCCUGUCAAGUGCUCUGUUGCUGGGAUAGCAAUGGGUAUGGUCUUGGACACGAAGGGAUUUGGGGGAGAUGGAACUCCUCUCAUUCUCUCUGAUAUCAGUGGAUCUGAAGAUGCUUCCGGAGAUAUGGAUCUUAAGGUUGCUGGUGAUGAGAAUGGUAUCACUGCCUUCCAGAUGGACAUUAAGGUUGGAGGAAUUGCUCUUCCAGUGAUGGAGCAAGCACUUCUUCAAGCAAGAGAUGGUCGAAAACGUGUUCUAUAUGAAAUGUUGAAGUGUUCACGACCACCAUGUAAGAAACUCUCCAAAUAUGCUCCAUUGAUUCAUGUUAUGAAGGUCAAACCUGAGAAAGUGAAUCUUAUUAUUGGUUCUGGUGGAAAGAAGGUGAAAAGCAUCAUAGAGGAGACUGGGAUUGAAGCUAUUGAUGCCCAAGAUGAUGGCAUGGUUAAAAUUACAGCGAAGGACUUGUCAAGCUUAGAGAAGUCAAAAGCGAUCAUCACCAAUCUUACAAUGGUUCCAACAGUGGGUGAUAUAUACAGGAGCUGUGAGAUCAAAUCAAUAGCACCUUAUGGAGUUUUUGUUGAGAUUGCACCAGGACGUGAGGGACUAUGUCAUAUUAGCGAGCUGAGUUCAAACUGGUUGGCAAAAGCUGAAGAUGUAUUUAAAGUUGGAGACCGUAUUGAUGUCAAACUU
RNAcentral lists this long non-coding RNA (21585 nucleotides) under Phoenix dactylifera (date palm). RNAcentral's name for it is "long non-coding RNA (PDAC_LNC004735)". The record is from RNAcentral. Lineage: Eukaryota; Viridiplantae; Streptophyta; Magnoliopsida; Arecales; Arecaceae.